AAUAAUAUUUAACCAAAAUGAUUGUAAUGAUAAAAAACAUCAAUAAUAGAAUAACUAAAUUUCCAUUUUCUAUCAUAUUUAACCAAAAUAGAAAAAUUAGAAUCCAAAGUAUCAUCCAUUCUACUUAACAUCAAUAAUUUAUCAAGUAUAACAUUCUAAACAAAAUAUCCAACUUUUUAAAUAUGACCAAGAGUUCAGAAGUUUUGAACGUCGACAAGCUUAUCGGGAAUUGUUUUCGACUCUUUCUGUCCCUAGGCUAGUGCUGCCUUAAUCAACCAUAGGAAUUCUGGAUUGUUUGC
This 299-nucleotide long non-coding RNA is filed under the name Panax ginseng (ginseng). RNAcentral's name for it is "long non-coding RNA (PGIN_LNC012130)". Lineage: Eukaryota; Viridiplantae; Streptophyta; Magnoliopsida; Apiales; Araliaceae. The record is from RNAcentral.